This is a long non-coding RNA of Manis javanica (Malayan pangolin), 3458 nucleotides long. RefSeq lists it as uncharacterized. The record is from RefSeq and is a predicted model, not a curated record. NCBI's taxonomy places the organism in Eukaryota, Metazoa, Chordata, Mammalia, Pholidota, Manidae.
GAGGCGGCGCGAGUGCGUGAAGCCGGGGGAGGGGUGGCCAGGUGUUCCACGCGCGCCCGGGGCUGAAGGUGGGGGUGUCGGGAGCACGGGCUAACGGCCCUGGGCUCGCACGUGGAGGCGCGAGUGCAAGCGCUCCCCAAAGCCGGGGGAGGAUGAAAUACCGGGGAAGCCGCACACUGUUACCAUUCCAGGCUUGUGUGGGAGAAGACUGUUGUGUGCCUGUGUCUGUCCGGCCCGGCAGCUCCAGUCCCUGGUUAAUAAAAGCUGGCAACUCUACUCACAUUUUGAGGACCCUGCAGUUAUAGACAAAACCUCAAAUUUUAGGUCUCAAGGAAUGACUAAUCAGGUGGGCUAGAUGCAUGUGACCUUGCCUCAGCCAACCACAACAACCAAGGAAGCAAGGUCUUAGAAUUGAUAACAGCUUCCAUUCAGAAUUCCCAUCUAAAAUGAUGGGAGGAAGGAUGUCAUCCAGAUGAAACCACCAGGGAAACUGCCGUGAGUUGGCAACGACACCAUAUUUUAUUUAGUGUGCUGCUAUGUGUUGGACACAUGUCAGUACCUUAUGUGCUUUACCUCAUUUAAAUUUUUCAAUGAGCUCAAUAAUCUCUCAGUUUUGAGCAGAUGAUGCCCAAAGAAGUUGUGUGCCCAUAAGUUAUGCUAAGUGGCAACACCUGGAUGUAUGGGGGCCUUAAAAGCCAGAAAAGGGAUUUACAUGGUAAGAAACAGACACUUAUUGAUGACUUUUGAGCCAGAUGAUAACUGUAUUAUAAAACUAAUGUUUAUGAAGAGCCUGAAAUACAUGGAAAAUUCAUAUAAUAAAUUGCCAAAGCAGCAAAGAUAACUUAAGAGGCCUAGAGGAUAGCAUUAGAAGACCCAGGAUACAUCUGAAAGAAUUUCUGAAGGAGAGAAGAUAAGACUUUGAAAGAGAGGCAAUAUCCAUGGGAUAAUGAGAGUCUUUCAUACUUGAAGAAAACUAUGAGUUAUCAGGUCAAAGUAAGGUGCUAAGGCUCAAGCAGCUUAUGUACAUAGUAGUGAAAUUACAGAGUACCAAAGCAAUAGAAAAAUGUUAAAAGUUACCACUGAGAAAAGUCAAAUUAUCCUAAAAGGAAAGACAGUCAUCCUGUCAGAUUUAUAAGCAACAUGAAGUGACAGAAGACAAUGGAAAAUAUCUUCAAAGUAUUGAGAACCCAUAACUGAGAAACUAGAAUUUUAUACCUAGCUAAGUCAUCUUUCAAGAGGAAGAACAAAAUCAACACAUUUUCAAAAUUUAGUAUUCACAGAUGCUUGUUGAAAGUAAUACAAAAGAAUAUAAGAAGAAAAAGGCUGAACACAAAAGGAAUUACUGAGAUUGAAGAACGAAAGGUAAAUAAAUUAGCAAGUAUUUUAGCUAAUCUAAUUUAAGUGCCAGUAUUUUUGAAUUUUAAAAACAGGUAAAAUUAAAAUACCACCCCUCAAGAGUAUGGUAGGUAAUAGCAGAAGGAAAUUCUGAAUUAAGGACUAGACUCCUUUUGUUCAAGAAUGAAAUAUUCCUUAACUUUAGAUGUUAAUAAAUUCUUGUAUUGGUUAAGGUUUCUUAUGAAGACAACAGGUUUGAGCAAUAAUUUUUUUUUUUGGUUGUGAUUCAUAAUUUAAUGGCCAUGUAGGUCCUUGUCCUUAUUUCUGCCCUCAUAGGCGCACUACUCUUGUGUCAAUGUAUUCUGCUCAAAGCUUAGAUGUGCAGGAACACUUCUAGGCAUGUGUUCACUGGACAGUGUCUCUUGAGGCAGCAGCUCCUCAGACCUGGAAGCUAGAGGUUCAUCUUUGAGAGUUGUAUCGUCUACUCUUUGUGCUCUGCCACAGGUUCUGCUGCAGCUUCCCCUGGAGGAGGGUACUGAGCCUCAUUGCUGUGGCCUGGGGUGGGGGCCACAGCCCCACCCAUAUGUAAUUCCAGCUCCAGCAGGAAUUUCUUAAGUUGAUGUUCAGUGGUUCUUAGCGUCACUGGGAGAGCUAAAAAAAUAACAAGUGUGGGCUAAGCUUCUAGAAAAGUGCCCUAAACCAUGCAACAGAACUGGCAUGAAAAAGAAACUGUUACUACUACCAUCCAAGCAUCAAAUGCCAGGAGCUGAACUUUUCUCCAUCCACUCCUGCUGUCAGCAUCAGUGCCAAUUCUGUGUUAGAAACUUGAGUUACAACUGCCACCACCUCUGCAAACUGGAUCCAUCUGUUUCUCUGCACCAGGAAGGUGGAAGCUGUAUGCAGAGCUUAUAUCCUUGCAGUCAUUAAUUUCCACAGGUGCUUCUGGUUGACAGUUUAUGUCUUUGGCCUACCUUCUAGCUGCAAGGGAAGCAGGAAAUUUGAGUUCUGAAUUUUAUACUGGAGAGGUGGGAUCUAUGCCCAGGGAAUUACACCAAAUAUAGAAAGGGUAUUUAAAAGAUUCCAGCAGCCUUGAAAAAUGCCAGAGUCUGCUAUUGAUAGGCAUAUUAAACAUUGAAAGGUAUUCACCAAAAUAAACAAAAUGUAACUUCUGAGCUUAGAGAAAAAAAAUAACCUAUACAAAAUGUAGUUACUGGAGUAGCAGGCAAGAAAAAAAAAGCAAAGUAAAAGUAUGAUAAAUAAAUUCAAGUAAGAUCAUAGAGAAAAGUUGAACUAGGUUAUUACAAUAAAAAUAAAUAUAAAUAUAUAAAUGGUUUGGGGCUGUCUAUUCAUGAUAACAACAGACAUUUAGACUGGAUUUUUAGAAAUCCAGCUAUGUGCUGUUUGCAAAUAUAUGGUAAGAAAAUAUUACCAAAAUGUCUGAUAGAAGGCAAUUUUUAAGAAAACUACAAAGAAAAUACCAAAGAUUUGUGCAUCCAAUACCAUUAAUAUCAGACAUAAGAACUUAAGGCUAGAAGGACUGAUAAAGAUAGAGAGGUGAUAUGUAGUCAUCCUAAAAGGAGCUCUCCACCAGAAAUACGUACAGUCAUGAACAUGUGUACACUUUACAUACAGAAAAAUGUGAUGGAAUGACAUAGAAAAAUCAGUAAAUGACAAUCAAAAACAGUUCAGAUGAUAAAUGGUCAGUGUACCAUAAAUCAAUAAGCUGGAUAUGUGAGAUUAUAUUUCUACACACAUACAUAUAUCCACAUAAUCAAUAGUAAAAAAAUUUUCUGUUCUACUCCAAGACUCUUAAGUCCAGCCAUUAGACAUGUGAACUUUGCCAAAUAUACAGGAGAAAAUGCCCUUGUUUCACAAAGUAGGAAGCUAAAAACCAAGUGUGUAACCAAGAUUCCUGAUACACACCAGGUACUUCUCAGGCACCGUAUCUUCCAAGCCAAUCCUUUUGACAUAAAUAAUUUUUUGACAAGUGCAGUUAUUUCAACAACAAAGCCAUUUCAGACUCACUUCAUUUAGUUAAAAGCUCUUCCUAGUGGAUCUCUAACUGCUUCAAGUAUUCUCUGCUGGUGAAUGCUCUUUUGUGGUUGAAAUACGCAAAAAAUGUA